CACGGCGGCGGGCGGGACGGGGACGAGGGCCGCGGAGAUGUCGGCGGUGGAGUCGAUGGCGGUGGCGUCGAUGGCGGCCUGGACCACCACAAACCCAGAAGCCACAGCACUAUGAGCCUCAUCUGGUCGUAUCCUGUUGCUCCUGCUGGACCUGCUCAGCCAGAAACCACUGGCCAGUGUUGUCCCCACCGAUGGCAUCUCCUCGCCAGGCAGCACGAGGUGGAGAUGGCGCAGGGGCAGGAGCCGGCUGCAAAGCAGAAGAUUAAUUAAGAGGCUGUGCCACUGUCUCGCUGUGAUCUCAGUAACUGAACCGUUAAAGUGAGUUAUUCUUCACAGGGUAAUUACAUUCCCCCUCUCUCUGUUAUCCAUCCCCUGAUCUGUGCUGCACAUACACCCAGUCAGGAGCAGGCCUGUGGUCCGUGAGUCCAUGUGUCAGAGGGGAGAUGGCCUGGCUGCCCCUUCUGCUUCCUGUGCCUCGGCAUUACAGCUUCUGUAGCACACAGAUUCAUGCUGUCUGUGUGGACUGUGUGCUGUUUGUGUGGAUUCAACACUUCCAGACCCUCACACAGCUCUGGGAUCUCCCCAUGAGCCACUUUGGCCGGACACAGCAGUGCUGCUACACCACUGAUUUUGACUGACAGUCCAACCUGGCUUUGUAUCAUAUUAUCAAUACCUGUUUAUGGUGCGUUCUGUGCUGUCAGGUUUCUUGCUGCAUUUUUAAAGCUGCAUUUCACAUGGACAAGUUUGGGAAACUCCUAUGCAGAGCUCUUGUCCUAACAAUCCCAGUGUAGGCAGGCAUGACUAAGAGCCUUUAAAAUCAGACAGCCACAGAACCAUAGAAUCAUUAAUAUAAGAAAACAUUUUUAAGAUCAAGUCCAGCUGUUACCUCAGCAUCACCACCAUGUUCAGCACUAAACCAUGUCACCACAUGUGUUUUGAACACUUCCAGGGCUGGAAACACAGCCUACUUAGAGUAUUAGAAAUAGUAUUUUUUUAGAGGAACAGUCGUUUUUCCUGUGAAAUCUUUCAUUUGUUAAUAAUAACCAAGCAUUCAGUACAGCCAUAUUCUCUGUUAAAACGCUGCAUCCUUUACUCUUUAACACCAUUUCCUCAGCCCAUCACUCCCCCCGUUUCUAGCCCAGCUGCUUCCACAGAUUUCAGCGUCACACUUUUCCCUCGGGGCCGUGCAGCCUGGCCGCCCGCCCGCUCGCUGCUCAGGCCUGUCCUGCUUGCGGAUGUUCCUUUCGGGCCAGGAACAUUAGAGGGAGCUGGAGGCUCGCUGUGCCCGGCUGGAUGGUUGGACGUGGCUGAUGGCUGGCAGGAAUGGCCUGUCCAGCCCAUGCUGGUUCUUCACCAUAGCAUUCCCUGCUCCAAAAUCCCAGCAAAUUCAUCCUCCACAAACUGUGGUGCCUCCGAGGGGUCGGUGUGCCUGCCAGGGAGGACGGGUGCUUCUGCAUCACUUGGGGAGAGGAUUCUGCACCCGUUCAGUCCUGAUCUUGACAGCAGCACCAGCCUGCUCUGUGCCAUGCUCACCGUGCCAGCCCUGCCACCCUGCAUCUGGCACAUCCUGGUGGUAAACUAAAUCAGGGUGAUUUGUGUUGUGGCAGGAGCCAGAGGCUUAAUUCCAGACCAGUGUAAGGAAACACAGCCGUGGAUCUUGGGGAUAAUGGAUCUGUGUGGGACACCCACCAUGGCGCUGUGGGAUGGGGUGACAGGUUUGCUGCAGCGACCCAGCACCAGCACCAUGGUGAUCAGUGGUGUGUUAGACCAGAGGAAUAAAAAGAUGAGUGUCAUACAGGAGACUUUACCAUCCCAAAAAUAAACCUGGGAACAAACACUCCUA
Taeniopygia guttata (zebra finch) is the source of this 1843-nucleotide non-coding RNA. NCBI's taxonomy places the organism in Eukaryota, Metazoa, Chordata, Aves, Passeriformes, Estrildidae. The record is from RefSeq and is a predicted model, not a curated record.